GUAUAAGCCAUUUAUACAGUGAAACUGCGAAUGGCUCAUUAAAUCAGUUAUCGUUUAUUUGAUAGUUCCUUUACUACAUGGUAUAACUGUGGUAAUUCUAGAGCUAAUACAUGCUUAAAAUCUCGACCUUUUGGAAGAGAUGUAUUUAUUAGAUAAAAAAUCAACGUCUUCGGACUCCUUGAUGAUUCAUAAUAACUUUUCGAAUCGCAUGGCCUUGUGCUGGCGAUGGUUCAUUCAAAUUUCUGCCCUAUCAACUUUCGAUGGUAGGAUAGUGGCCUACCAUGGUUUCAACGGGUAACGGGGAAUAAGGGUUCGAUUCCGGAGAGGGAGCCUGAGAAACGGCUACCACAUCCAAGGAAGGCAGCAGGCGCGCAAAUUACCCAAUCCUGAUACAGGGAGGUAGUGACAAUAAAUAACGAUACAGGGCCCUUACGGGUCUUGUAAUUGGAAUGAGUACAAUGUAAAUACCUUAACGAGGAACAAUUGGAGGGCAAGUCUGGUGCCAGCAGCCGCGGUAAUUCCAGCUCCAAUAGCGUAUAUUAAAGUUGUUGCAGUUAAAAAGCUCGUAGUUGAACUUUGGGCCUGGUCGGCCGGUCCGGAUCUUUCCGUGUACUGGUUUUAAUUCGACCGGGCCUUUCCUUCUGGCUAGCCCUGGGUCCUUGUGGCCCUUGGUGAACCAGGACUUUUACUUUGAAAAAAUUAGAGUGUUCAAAGCAGGCGUUUCGCUCGAAUAUAUUAGCAUGGAAUAAUAAAAUAGGACGUUUGGUUCUAUUUUGUUGGUUUCUAGGACCAUCGUAAUGAUUAAUAGGGACGGUCGGGGGCAUCAGUAUUCAGUUGUCAGAGGUGAAAUUCUUGGAUUUACUGAAGACUAACUACUGCGAAAGCAUUUGCCAAGGACGUUUUCAUUAAUCAAGAACGAAAGUUAGGGGAUCGAAGAUGAUCAGAUACCGUCGUAGUCUUAACCAUAAACUAUGCCGACUAGGGAUCGGGUGGUGUUUUUUUACUGACCCACUCGGCACCUUACGAGAAAUCAAAGUCUUUGGG
RNAcentral lists this ribosomal RNA (1044 nucleotides) under Zygosaccharomyces sp. RNAcentral describes it as "SSU rRNA". It matches the Rfam family "Eukaryotic small subunit ribosomal RNA", at positions 63 to 1111 of the family's 1831-position model. Lineage: Eukaryota; Fungi; Ascomycota; Saccharomycetes; Saccharomycetales; Saccharomycetaceae. The record is from RNAcentral.